AAAUAUUGGGACAUAUAAAAAAUACAACUCUGUAUUUUUGUAGAGUAGCUGUUGACAUUAUAGUUGCGCAGGAACUUUGUUGACUCUAGAGAACCUCGGGCAAAUCGCACACCCCCGUGGCGGCGACUUUGCGUUCGGAUGUCAUCCAUAUCAACUUUCAAUGCCAGUUUCUGCACCUACCAUGGUGACCACGGGUAACGGGGAAUCAGGGUUCCAUUCUGUACAGGGACCCUGAGAAACAGCUACCACAUGCAAGGAAGGCAGCAGGCACGCAAAUGACCCACUCCCGACGCGGGAAGGUAGUGAU
Pelobates cultripes (western spadefoot toad) is the source of this 307-nucleotide non-coding RNA. The record is from the annotation of a GenBank genome assembly. Lineage: Eukaryota; Metazoa; Chordata; Amphibia; Anura; Pelobatidae.